GGUGCGAGCGUUGUCCGGAAUUACUGGGCGUAAAGAGCUCGUAGGUGGUUUGUCGCGUUGUUCGUGAAAUCUCACGGCUUAACUGUGAGCGUGCGGGCGAUACGGGCAGACUUGAGUACUGCAGGGGAGACUGGAAUUCCUGGUGUAGCGGUGGAAUGCGCAGAUAUCAGGAGGAACACCGGUGGCGAAGGCGGGUCUCUGGGCAGUAACUGACGCUGAGGAGCGAAAGCGUGGGGAGCGAACAGGAUUAGAUACCCUGGUAGUCCACGCCGUAAACGGUGGGUACUAGGUGUGGGUUUCCUUCCUUGGGAUCCGUGCCGUAGCUAACGCAUUAAGUACCCCGCCUGGGGAGUACGGCCGCAAGGCUAAAACUCAAAGAAAUUGACGGGGGCCCGCACAAGCGGCGGAGCAUGUGGAUUAAUUCGAUGCAACGCGAAGAACCUUACCUGGGUUUGACAUGCACAGGACGCCGGCAGAGAUGUCGGUUCCCUUGUGGCCUGUGUGCAGGUGGUGCAUGGCUGUCGUCAGCUCGUGUCGUGAGAUGUUGGGUUAAGUCCCGCAACGAGCGCAACCCUUGUCUCAUGUUGCCAGCGGGUAAUGCCGGGGACUCGUGAGAGACUGCCGGGGUCAACUCGGAGGAAGGUGGGGAUGACGUCAAGUCAUCAUGCCCCUUAUGUCCAGGGCUUCACACAUGCUACAAUGGCCGGUACAAAGGGCUGCGAUGCCGCGAGGUUAAGCGAAUCCUUUUAAAGCCGGUCUCAGUUCGGAUCGGGGUCUGCAACUCGACCCCGUGAAGUCGGAGUCGCUAGUAAUCGCAGAUCAGCA
This 825-nucleotide ribosomal RNA is filed under the name uncultured bacterium. Its description in RNAcentral is "bacterial SSU rRNA". It matches the Rfam family "Bacterial small subunit ribosomal RNA", at positions 531 to 1354 of the family's 1533-position model. The record is from RNAcentral.